GUUUAUAUAGUUUAAUUUUAAAUAUUAAAUUGCAAGUUUAAAGAUAUUAUUUGAUUAAUUAUAAAUU
RNAcentral lists this transfer RNA (67 nucleotides) under Lasioglossum pauxillum. RNAcentral's name for it is "tRNA-Cys". Lineage: Eukaryota; Metazoa; Arthropoda; Insecta; Hymenoptera; Halictidae. The record is from RNAcentral.